GAGGGACUGUGAUGUCAGAUGUACCCUAUUUCCUGUUCUUUAUAAGUAGAUGUCAGACAGAGACAGACUGCAGUACACAGCCAGCUGUGGUAAUGGUGAUGUCACUGUUGAGGAGUUUUCUGUUGUUCUACUUCUCAUUCAACAAAUUGACCACAGCAGCAGAAGCCAUUCUCUGGGUGAAGACGGGGGAGAAGUUUACCAUGAAGUGCUCCACCACUCUAAAAGACCAGGAUGGAAUGUACCUGUAUGUUGGGCUGGACAGGGACAGGGAGGUGCUGUAUUACUACCAGCGUGACUCCAAACUGACCCCCAGGAGACGUUACUGGGACAGAGUGAAGACUGAGGGACCUGUGGACCAACUGACCAUCACCGUCAGUAACCUGACCAUAGAGGACACAGGUGUCUACUGGUGUGUUUACACAAAAUUCAAUAAAUCCACGUAUGAAAAUGACAUCAACCAAGGAAGAGGCUCCACUCUGGUCGUGGUGAAUGGUAGAGACGAUGCCCUCCAGCUGCCAUGCCCCACAGCUAUUGCAGUAACACUGACCCCCUUUCACCCAGCCAACGAGAAGCUGUGCGCAUCUGGCGUGGAAAACAUCAUCAUCAUCACCAGCAUCUUGACCACCCUGAUGUGUGCCGUCAUCUUCCUCGCCUGGGUCGCUCCACGGGUGAAGAGGUGCUGUAACCAGGGAGGAUACACACCCCAGGUCUUUCCUGACUCGGUCUAUGAAGACAUGGCCAGGAAUCCCAUUUAUCCACCAGACACACAGCAGUGUUUUUAGGUCACUGGACCACUCAUCAAGCUGUUCCUGUGCAUGUUGUCUUCCACAAAGCCAAAAGAACUUCAACGUUAAAAUGAGAACAGUUUGUUAAGACUUUUAUUAUAUUUUAUCAUAGGUACAAAUAUUUUAGCUCCUUAAACUUUCAGGCACAUCAGGAUAUAAGCCAUUUUACAUUACAUUUGAUUAUUCUAUGGUUUUAGUUGAGAUAGCUAGUAGGUUAAACCAUAAUGGUCUGAGUACAUUGUUUUCAUGCUGAUACAGAGUAAUGAGUGUGUCUUAUGGAUGGAAAAACAAUGAUUCAUUUUUACUAAGUGACGUAGUAUUUGUCUUACACUAGGAGUCCCUGUUUUUUUACUUAUGUUUCAACUUCCUAACAGCUAUUUUCACUUUAAAUAGCUGUAAAUGUGUAUUGUAUCUUUAUAAAGGAAGACAAAUAUUCUCACCGUUUGCCUUUUAAUCAAAAUUAUUGAUACAUAAUUGAUAGUUAUGUGAUAUUCAACUUGUGUAUUCAUGUUUAUGUUGUAUUUGUAUGUAUAAAGCAUUGGUGAUGUUCAGCUAUAUUGCUUACAGUAUUUUGUAUGUUUAGAAAGCUUUCUAAAUGAAGUCAGACAGGAAACUAGAGUGUUUGUAUCAGCUGAUAUUGAACCAAUUAGAUUCCCUCUACCGUAAUAUGGCAGUCUAUUUAGUUAACCAGGUAAUGCACAUCCUUUCAUUAUGUCUGCUGCACGCAAGCUAUCCAUUGGUGUUCUUGGUGACAUGCUAUGAUGUAACAUGCGGUACUCGCCCUGCAUGUCUGCUUUCCCACCACCCACCCCAGACUCCACCUGUUUGGGCACUGCUUUUGUUUCAGUCAGGGGGAUUGGUAUAGCAUACCUGGCUCACUGUUUGUUAUUAUGUUAUCAUUAUGCAUGCUCUGGCAGUGAGCUACCCCGAAGGAGCAGAGCCUUACGCCAAGAGUAACAUAUUGAAUGUAUUGUAAUCCUUUCUAAUAAAUGGUUAAACAAAUAUGUGACGUUUCAGUAACUUUUA
RNAcentral lists this long non-coding RNA (1811 nucleotides) under Salmo salar (Atlantic salmon). RNAcentral's name for it is "lncRNA (ENSSSAG00000086958.1, ENSSSAG00000109981.1)". Lineage: Eukaryota; Metazoa; Chordata; Actinopteri; Salmoniformes; Salmonidae. The record is from RNAcentral.